RNAcentral lists this ribosomal RNA (447 nucleotides) under uncultured bacterium. Its description in RNAcentral is "bacterial SSU rRNA". It matches the Rfam family "Bacterial small subunit ribosomal RNA", at positions 355 to 825 of the family's 1533-position model. The record is from RNAcentral.
UGGGGAAUCUUGGACAAUGGGCGCAAGCCUGAUCCAGCCAUGCCGCGUGGAUGAUGAAGGCCUUAGGGUUGUAAAAUCCUUUCGUUGGGGACGAUAAUGACGGUACCCAAAGAAGAAGCUCCGGCUAACUUCGUGCCAGCAGCCGCGGUAAUACGAAGGGGGCUAGCGUUGUUCGGAUUUACUGGGCGUAAAGCGCGUGUAGGCGGGCUGGAAAGUUGGGGGUGAAAUCCCGAGGCUCAACCUCGGAACUGCCUCCAAAACUGGCGACCUGGACUCAAGCAGAGGCAAGUGGAAUUGCGAGUGUAGAGGUGAAAUUCGUAGAUAUUCGCAGGAACACCAGUGGCGAAGGCGACUUGCUGGGCUUGUAGUGACGCUGAGACGCGAAAGCGUGGGGAGCAAACAGGAUUAGAUACCCAAGUAGUCCCUGAGCGGGCUGGCAAGGCGCAU